This 425-nucleotide ribosomal RNA is filed under the name uncultured bacterium. RNAcentral's name for it is "partial 16S ribosomal RNA". It matches the Rfam family "Bacterial small subunit ribosomal RNA", at positions 354 to 796 of the family's 1533-position model. The record is from RNAcentral.
GUGGGGAAUCUUAGACAAUGGGGGAAACCCUGAUCUAGCCAUGCCGCGUGAGCGAUGAAGGCCUUAGGGUUGUAAAGCUCUUUCAGCUGGGAAGAUAAUGACGGUACCAGCAGAAGAAGCCCCGGCUAACUCCGUGCCAGCAGCCGCGGUAAUACGGAGGGGGCUAGCGUUGUUCGGAAUUACUGGGCGUAAAGCGCACGUAGGCGGAUCAGAAAGUCAGAGGUGAAAUCCCAGGGCUCAACCUUGGAACUGCCUUUGAAACUCCUGGUCUUGAGGUCGAGGGAGGUGUGUGGAAUUCCGAGUGUAGAGGUGAAAUUCGUAGAUAUUCGGAGGAACACCAGUGGCGAAGGCGGCUCACUGGCUCGAUACUGACGCUGAGGUGCGAAAGCGUGGGGAGCAAACAGGAUUAGAAACCCCUGUAGUCC